GAUGAACGCUAGCGGCAGGCCUAAUACAUGCAAGUCGAACGAGAUUAAGAGGCUUGCUUCUUAUGAAAGUGGCGCACGGGUGCGUAACGCGUAUGCAACCUACCUUAAUCAGGGGGAUAGCCCGAAGAAAUUCGGAUUAAGACCGCAUAAAAACACAGGAUAGCAUUAUCCAAUGUUCAAAUAUUUAUAGGAUUAAGAUGGGCAUGCGUGUCAUUAGCUAGUUGGCGGGGUAACGGCCCACCAAGGCGACGAUGACUAGGGGAUCUGAGAGGAUGACCCCCCACACUGGUACUGAGACACGGACCAGACUCCUACGGGAGGCAGCAGUAAGGAAUAUUGGUCAAUGGAGGGAACUCUGAACCAGCCAUGCCGCGUGCAGGAAGACAGCCCUCGGGGUCGUAAACUGCUUUUAUUCGGGAAUAAACCUUUCUACGUGUAGGAAGCUGAAUGUACCGAAGGAAUAAGGAUCGGCUAACUCCGUG
This 482-nucleotide ribosomal RNA is filed under the name uncultured bacterium. Its description in RNAcentral is "partial 16S ribosomal RNA". It matches the Rfam family "Bacterial small subunit ribosomal RNA", at positions 28 to 507 of the family's 1533-position model. The record is from RNAcentral.